This 472-nucleotide ribosomal RNA is filed under the name uncultured bacterium. RNAcentral's name for it is "bacterial SSU rRNA". It matches the Rfam family "Bacterial small subunit ribosomal RNA", at positions 29 to 524 of the family's 1533-position model. The record is from RNAcentral.
AGCGAACGUUUGCGGCGGGCCUAACACAUGCAAGUCGAACGGGCUAGCAAUAGUCAGUGGCGCACGGGUGCGUAACACGUGGGUAAUCAACCCUUCAGCUCGGGAUAACGCCUUGAAAGGGGCGCUAAUACCGGAUACGACGCGAGGAGCUUCGGCUGCUUGCGGGAAAGAUUCGCAAGGAUCUCUGAAGGACGAGCCUGCGGCCCAUCAGCUAGUUGGUGAGGUAAGAGCUCACCAAGGCGAAGACGGGUAGCUGGUCUGAGAGGAUGAUCAGCCACACUGGGACUGAGACACGGCCCAGACUCCUACGGGAGGCAGCAGUGGGGAAUAUUGGACAAUGGGCGAAAGCCUGAUCCAGCAAUGCCGCGUGAGUGAUGAAGGCCUUAGGGUUGUAAAGCUCUUUACCCGGGAAGAUAAUGACCGUACCGGGAGAAUAAGCCCCGGCUAACUACAUGCCAGCAGCCGCGGUAAU